Molecule: ribosomal RNA, 484 nt
Filed under: uncultured bacterium
Lineage: Bacteria
Description: partial 16S ribosomal RNA
Rfam family: Bacterial small subunit ribosomal RNA
Source: RNAcentral
AUUGAACGCUGGCGGCAGGCUUAACACAUGCAAGUCGAACGGUAACAGGGCGCUAGGUGCUGACUUGUGGGGCGGAGGGGUGUGUAACGCCGAAGCAUGCGCCGGGUAGGGGGGGAACAAGUCGGGAAAGGGGCUCAAACACCGCACGAGCUAUGAGUGAAAACGGGGGGGAGUUUGGGAUCUCGCGCUUUCAGCUGCGGCUAGGUCGGAUUAGGUAGUUGGUGGGGUAAAGGCCUACCAAGCCGACGAUCCGUAACUGGUCUGAGAGGAUGAACAGUCACACUGGGACUGAGACACGGUCCAGACUCCUACGGGAGGCAGCAGUGGGGAAUUUUGGACAAUGGGCGAAAGCCUGAUCCAGCCAUGCCGCGUGUAGGAAGAAGGUCUUCGGGUUGUAAAGUGCUUUUGUAUGGGACGAAAGGGAGUUAGUUAAUACCCGGCGGUUUUGACGGUACCGUAAGAAUAAGCACCGGCUAACUACGUG